Hevea brasiliensis (rubber tree) is the source of this 107-nucleotide small nucleolar RNA. RefSeq annotates it as small nucleolar RNA snoR97. The transcript has a single exon. Lineage: Eukaryota; Viridiplantae; Streptophyta; Magnoliopsida; Malpighiales; Euphorbiaceae. The record is from RefSeq and is a predicted model, not a curated record.
CCUUUCUAAUGGAGUGAGGGUCUGAAAAACUCAGACAUUGGGUGUGUUGUCAUCAGCUUCAUCUCCCACAACCCACGAGAUAGGAGUUAAAUAACAGCACUACAUUU